RNAcentral lists this ribosomal RNA (890 nucleotides) under Bacillus subtilis. RNAcentral's name for it is "bacterial SSU rRNA". It matches the Rfam family "Bacterial small subunit ribosomal RNA", at positions 79 to 954 of the family's 1533-position model. The record is from RNAcentral. Lineage: Bacteria; Bacillati; Bacillota; Bacilli; Caryophanales; Bacillaceae.
UCCAGCUCCUGAUGUUAGCGGCAGACGGGUGAGUAACACGUGGGUAACCUGCCUGUAAGACUGGGAUAACUCCGGGAAACCGGGGCUAAUACCGGAUGCUUGUUUGAACCGCAGGUUCAAACAUAAAAGGUGGCUUCGGCUACCACUUACAGAUGGACCCGCGGCGCAUAGCUAGUUGGUGAGGUAACGGCUCACCAAGGCAACGAUGCGUAGCCGACCUGAGAGGGUGAUCGGCCACACUGGGACUGAGACACGGCCCAGACUCCUACGGGAGGCAGCAGUAGGGAAUCUUCCGCAAUGGACGAAAGUCUGACGGAGCAACGCCGCGUGAGUGAUGAAGGUUUUCGGAUCGUAAAGCUCUGUUGUUAGGGAAGAACAAGUACCGUUCGAAUAGGGCGGUACCUUGACGGUACCUAACCAGAAAGCCACGGCUAACUACGUGCCAGCAGCCGCGGUAAUACGUAGGUGGCAAGCGUUGUCCGGAAUUAUUGGGCGUAAAGGGCUCGCAGGCGGUUUCUUAAGUCUGAUGUGAAAGCCCCCGGCUCAACCGGGGAGGGUCAUUGGAAACUGGGGAACUUGAGUGCAGAAGAGGAGAGUGGAAUUCCACGUGUAGCGGUGAAAUGCGUAGAGAUGUGGAGGAACACCAGUGGCGAAGGCGACUCUCUGGUCUGUAACUGACGCUGAGGAGCGAAAGCGUGGGGAGCGAACAGGAUUAGAUACCCUGGUAGUCCACGCCGUAAACGAUGAGUGCUAAGUGUUAGGGGGUUUCCGCCCCUUAGUGCUGCAGCUAACGCAUUAAGCACUCCGCCUGGGGAGUACGGUCGCAAGACUGAAACUCAAAGGAAUUGACGGGGGCCCGCACAAGCGGUGGAGCAUGUGGUUUAAUUCGA